This 92-nucleotide transfer RNA is filed under the name Trichodelitschia bisporula. It matches the Rfam family "tRNA". Rfam says of the family: Transfer RNA (tRNA) molecules are approximately 80 nucleotides in length. Their secondary structure includes four short double-helical elements and three loops (D, anti-codon, and T loops). Lineage: Eukaryota; Fungi; Ascomycota; Dothideomycetes; Phaeotrichales; Phaeotrichaceae. The record is from Rfam by way of RNAcentral.
GCGUUGGUGGUUUAGUGGUAAAAUCCGUCGUUGCCAUCCGAAGCGAUUCGGGAUAAUUCGACGGGCCCCGGGUUCGAUUCCCGGCCGACGCA